This 2234-nucleotide long non-coding RNA is filed under the name Homo sapiens (human). RNAcentral describes it as "HSALNT0241873". Lineage: Eukaryota; Metazoa; Chordata; Mammalia; Primates; Hominidae. The record is from RNAcentral.
CCCCAGGGUGCAAGCCACAACAUAUAUCUGCGAAAGCAGAACCGAAGGAACACCAUUGGGCAGACGGAGGCUUUGGGCUUUUUAAAAAGCGUUUCAUGUGUUGAGAGUGAAAAGGGGGAAUAUAAGAAAGAAGUGAAGUCCAGAUUUCCUAAAGUACAUCUCAGUGUGGAGAAAAGAGAGAGAAAGGGAGAGAAGAGUCAUGGACCCUACUUUAUGGUUGCCAUGGAUGCAAGGUCAGCCUUCCACACUUGGAUCUACCAGCAGAGUUCAGACAGGUCAACGUGUGACCGGCUCAGGCCCUGGGGUUAAAAGUUCAAGCAGCUAUGGAAAAACCAAUAUGUCCACGCAGAGUAUGCUGUACAAUUUAUUUCAAUUUACAUCAAGCCAUGCAUAUAAAAUUUAGAUAAAUUCCAUUCAGAUCUGAUGUUGCCUGACACACAAUGUAUGCAAACAGAUGUCUGUGGGGCUUUUUCUGUGCUUUAGAAAACAACAUUAAAUUUAAAAAUAUGUCUCUGGGAUUUCUUUAUUGAAUUACAAAAUGAACAUAAUUUUAACUUAAAUGUUUUCAUUCUUUUUUCCAAUUUUUUUGUGUGGGGGUCUUAAUAAUUUCUCAGUUCUCAAUCUACUCUAUGUCAUAUUAAAGAGGAUAAUGUAUAUUUACAACUACAGCUUCAGUGUUAUUGUAGUUAUAGAUUCUAUUUAUAUCCCUUACCACUUUCCGCAAAUAUUUAGUGAUUGAUAUUUCUGAUUUAUCUCUGGUUUCUAGCCUCAUCUCCAUUCCUUUCUACUUUGAACAUAGCAAGUCCUGGAGGCUGCUGGGUCGUCUUCCAGCCACAAGGUGGCUCCCCCAAUCCCUUCUCUCAAGCCAAUCGAUGUACACCUUUGCUGAGUUCUCCAGGCGGACUACAAUUCAGAGCUAAUUAUGAUCUAUAAAUGCCAUUAUUUUCAUUGUGAAGUAAAUGGCUUAUGACCAAGACCCUGGUACACUAAGAUACAAUGCAAAAUUAGUCUUUAAAAAUAGGAGAAAGAAAAAUACCUUUGUAUUUGCCUAAUUUCUCUUCACCCAUCCUUCCAAAAGUACAACUGAGCUAUCCUUAGAGUAAAAUAAGAAAAAUAAUAAAAGGCUCCAGAGGAACCUAAUUUUGUUGUCAAUGAACAUAGUCAUAGACUAGACAAGGUCAAAUUUUAAGAAAAGUAUACAACUUAUUCUCACUUAAACUAGACCUACUUUUGGAUUUGAUAUUUUACCACAAGAGAGUUUUGAUGAGAAGACUUUGCAAAACUUUCUUAGAAGUCCCACAUCAUGCCAUCAUUGAAGAACAGUGAUCUCCAAUACUGCAAGGCUUUAAAAGGAGUGGAAAUAUUACAUAUUUCCUUUUUGUUGCUUAGCAAACAUGUUGCAUAUUUCAUAAAUGUGAUUUUUAUAGAAGACAUCAUAAUUUUCUACAGCUGAAAUAGGCAUAGAAAGACAAAUCAUUCAUCCAAUUACAUGGAAGGUCUUUCUAAAAGUCUGAGUCCUAAUUUCUCACAGUUUUUCAUUUUCUGUUCUGGAGAGAAGCUAUUUAACCUUUGGGCAAGUUUCGUUUUCCUUAUCUGUAAAAUGGAGAUAAAAAUAGGAACUAUGCCUCAUGGGAUUUUUGCCAGGAUUAAAUGAGUUAAUAUACAUAAAGCACUUACAAAAGUCCUUGUUACAUAAUAAAAGCCAUAUAAAUGUUUGUUAUUAUUAUUAUUGUUUAUUUGAGCUCAGUUCCUCCUUGACAAGUACUUCAUGACACAAUCACUUGAGAAAAAUAAACUUUCAUAGAUUUCAUAAAGACCUGAAAAGUAUCAUUUUUUUUGAUACCUGAGAGCUCUGAUCGGGGUAACUGACGGUGUAUGGGCUUUUUCUUCCUCAAGAACUUUAAAAAAUUAGCAUUUUCAUCCCAAUUCAUGGUAUUACUUUCAAUAUGACACUAAAAAAAGAAACUGCUGAUUUCCAAAUCUCAAGCAGGUUUUAGAUAACACUUUAAAAAAUGCAUCAUUUUACUAAAGCAAAAAACAACCAUAAGUAGUGGUUCUAAUAACUUGGUUCCGAUAUUUGUAUUGUAAAUAUUUUCAUGUUACUUUUCCACUAUAUUAAAAAAAAAGUCUUUAGGAGCUUACUCAUGCCAGAAUAUAACUUUGUUAAGCCUCUUGUUAAACUUAGAACGUAUGAGUCCCCUGCUUCUAACAUAAAUAAAUGUUUUGAAUUCCCC